CGUUAAUGGCUGCACGUGAAAUAUAGAAUUUCCAAAAAUCAGAAAAAUGUGAUUGUCGCUCAACCCUUCAUACUUCAAAGAUGUACGUGAUGUAGCUGUUAGUAGAUUUUAGCCUUGAAAAAACCAUCAUCAUCAACAACAACGAGUGCAAGUUUUGCUUGUGCCUGAAUUGACUGCUAUCAAUCUAUCAUCAUCAACAGUCUGCUGCUUCAUCACUAUGGUAUACUGUCUUUUGUCGUCUAGCACAUUCUAGUGAAUGUGGGUUUAUUCACGGAGACGCCCGUCUAAUGUAUCCAACUUUCCUGCUGAUGGAACGCGUGCGGAUGCCUGGCGGUAUUUUCCAGACUUCAAGAUUCACAGCAUCCAGUUUUCUUGGAUAAACUACCGAUGUCGAUCGAGUAACGGAUCUCCUCUUCC
Molecule: long non-coding RNA, 417 nt
Organism: Daphnia pulicaria
Lineage: Eukaryota; Metazoa; Arthropoda; Branchiopoda; Diplostraca; Daphniidae
Exons: 4
Source: RefSeq, a predicted model, not a curated record